This 3230-nucleotide long non-coding RNA is filed under the name Sus scrofa (pig). Its description in RNAcentral is "lncRNA (ENSSSCG00015073381.1)". Lineage: Eukaryota; Metazoa; Chordata; Mammalia; Artiodactyla; Suidae. The record is from RNAcentral.
GCCCUCCAGCGGGAGGAAGGGCCAGGGCCGCAUCCCUGAGCGGGGAGGUGGCACGGGGAGGACAGGAUGGGCGUUCCAGAGUGGCGUUGCCCAACUCGCUCUCUGUUUUAUUUUUAGUGUAAGGUAGUGCCUGGCGCAUGGUUGGUGCCCAGUAUUUGUCGGAAAAACAUGGGUGGCAAAGAACUUGGUCGCCGGAUCUCGAGGGCAAACUGCAGCCAUUGGAAGUCUUGAGCACAGAGAGAUACGUGGACGGGAAGGGCCAUAGAAUCCCAAUAUGGGGUUGGUGAGGGAGGAUUCUUGACUGAAAGGAUGUUCGCAGGUCUUGAGGGAAACUAGUCGUUAAGGCCUUUGAACAUGUCGCUAAGGAAUUUGAGAUAGGAUUGGAGUGGGGUUACCCUGGUGUUUGCUGAAGCAGUCCAGGGCGAGGAGCACUAAAUUUGAGAAGAGUGAAAAUAAGCGUUGAAGCUGCUGUUCUCAUGUUUGUUUUUCCGGGGGCCCAGUGAGAAUCAAGACCUUUGCUAUGUGUUCCUCAAGGUGUUGUCCGGAGCAUCUGGGUGUGUCAGAAAGUCCAGACUCUGACCUUAUAUGUUCAAGACUCAACCCUGCCAGCCCCUAGCUCUGUGGCCUUUGGGCUCUGUGACAGUUAAUUUUAUGUAUCAACUUGGCUGGGCCAUGGUGCCUAGAUAUUUGGUCAAACAUUAUUCUGGAUAUUUCUGUGAGGUUGUUUUUGGAGGUGAUUGACAUUUAAAUCAUUGGACUUUGAGUAAAGCCAAUUGCCCUCAUGAAUAGAACAAAAGACUGACCUCUCCAAGCAAAAAAAGGAAUUCUCCCAGCAGACAGCCUUUGGACACCCUUUUAUGGGUAUUCUUAAGAAUGGUUGUCUUAAAUUUAUCUCUUUGAAGUUGCAAGUUUAAAAAGAACAUAAGAUCAGAGGUUUACUUGACAAGAGCUGCAGUCCAAAUAUACGAGGUGGGGAGUUAGCAGGAUUAUCCAUGAAUUAGCCCAGGUCAGAAAGAAUCUGACAGAGGUAGGGGUCAUGUGAGGUCUCUUUACAAUUACCGCAAAUCAUGAAAGUACCCCCCAAAUCUUUAAACUUAAGGGUGGAACACAUGUUCUUUCCUUCUCUAUUAUCAAGCCAAAAUACAUAUCUUCCCACAAAGAUUCGUUACUUCUGUUUUAUCAAGCCAAAGAUACUUCCCACAAAGAGAUGGCCAGGAAAUUUUGAACUUUAAGAAGAUGAGAAAGGAGUUCCUGCUGUGGCACAGUGGAUUAAGAAUCCGGCUACAGUGACUCAGGUUGCUGCAGAGGCAUGGAUUUGAUCCCAGAGCCAGCUCAGUGGGUUAAAAAGUCUGGUGUUGCUGCAGCUACGGUGUAGGUCACAGCUGUGGCUUGGAUUCAGUCCCUGGCCCAAGAACUUCCAUAUGCUGUGAGUGUGGUCAUAAAAGAAAAUGAGAAGGAAUUAAUUAGGUGUAAUAACAGCAUUGUGGGUAUGUGAAGAAAUGUCACACUUCUCAUCAGAGAUGCACUCUAAAAGUAUAUGAGUAAAAUGACAUGAUGUCUAACUUGUGCUAAUACUUCAGCAAAGAAAAAGAGAAAUAAAAGGAUAGAAGAAGGAUAUAUGGCAAACACUUUGCACUUUGUUGAAUCUAUAUGAUAGGUUAUGAGGUUUAUUAUAUUAUUGUCCCCAGAUUUACAUAUUCUUAAAUUUUCAUAGACUUAAAUUUUACAUUUAAGUUUUUCAUAACAAGUAUUUAAAGUCAUAAAAAUGAGCUCUUUAUCUCUUAAUCUGGUUUACUCCCAAAAAUGAAAAAUAAAAAUGAUUUUACUUACACAAGGUCCAUCAUGUAGUUUAGUUAUGUUAAGCCCUUCAUAUCUGUAAGAAAUUGUAUUUUGAAAUAACUAUUUUUGCUCUAUGAUAUAUCGCAAAUUACUAAACUUUACUUGAUAAUCUUUGGCUAAGGAUGAGAAUGAAACAUUUGGCUAAUGGUUAAUUCUUAUUUAACUAAUAUUUUAAAAUAUCUACUAUACAUUUGUUUGUCAAAGGGAGUGAUGUAUAAAACAUAUACAUCAAGUUUUGGCCUGAAAUCAAAUAUAGAAAAUUCAAAAUAAUCUUGAAUAUUUAAGUAGAAAUAUAGAGUAUUAGACAGUGAAUUGCAGUAAAAUUAAAUUACACAUUUGAUGAAAGUUAAAGACAUUACCAUUGGCCUUACAGAAGUAAAAAUGAUUAUAAGGGAAUACUAUGAGCAAUUAUACAUCAACAAAUUAGAUAACCUAGGUGAAAUGGCCAAAUUCCUAGAAACACACAAAUUACCUAAACUGACUCAAGAAGAAAUAGGAAAUCUCAACAGCUCUAAAUCAAGAGAUCAAAUCAGCAAUAAUAAAAACCUAACAAAGAAAAGUUCAGGACAAAAUGGCUUUUUAGUGAAUUCUGUCAAACAUUAUUAAAGAUUUAAUGUUAAUCCUUAGAGUUCUCGCAUGGCACAGGGGGUUAAGGAUCUGGCAUUGUCAUUGCAGCAGCUUGGGUCACUGCUGCGGUGCAGGUUUGAUCCCUUACCCGACAACUUCCAUAUGCUACGAAUGGAGCUGAAAAAUAAAAUAAAAUAAAUAACACAAGUAAUAAAAGUUGACAAGGAUAUGGAAAAAAGGGAACCUAUUACACUGUUCGUGGGGAUGUAAAUUGGUGCAGUCACUGUGGAAAACAGUCUGGGGGGGUUUCUCUAAAAACUAAAAAUAGAAUUAUCAUAUGACCCAGCACUUCUACUCUGGGUAUAUAUCCAAAAAAAUCCCCCCCAAUGAUAUGAAAAGAUAAAUGUACCCCAACAUUCAUAGAAGCAUUAUUUACAAUUGCCAAGAUAUGGAAGCAACCUAAGUGUCCACAAAUAAAUGGAUAAAGAAGAUGUAUGUGUAUACAUAGGUAUACAAUGGACUACUAUUCAGUCAUAAAAAGAAUGGAAUUUUGCCAUGUGCAGCAACAUGGAUAGACUUGAAGGACAUUAUGCUAAGUAAAAUAAGUCAAAGAAAGACAUACUGUAUGAUAUCACUUAUAUGCGGAAUCUAAAAAAUACAGCAAACUAGUGAAUGAAACAAAAAAGAACACUCACAGAUACGAAAACACACUAGUGGUUACUAGUGAGGAGAGGAAAGAGGGAAGGGACAAAAAUGAUUAUUAUGGGAUUAUAUGAAAACAUGUAUGAAACUUUUGAAAAUUGUAAAAUAAAGCACUAUAGAAU